RNAcentral lists this ribosomal RNA (542 nucleotides) under Tomentella ellisii. RNAcentral's name for it is "eukaryotic LSU rRNA". The stretch from base 168 to 322 matches the Rfam family "5.8S ribosomal RNA". Lineage: Eukaryota; Fungi; Basidiomycota; Agaricomycetes; Thelephorales; Thelephoraceae. The record is from RNAcentral.
AACCGGGGCAYGUGCACGCUCUGUUUACACAUCCACUCACACCUGUGCACCCUCUGUAGUCCUAUGGUUCGGAAGACCCCGUCUUCCUUCUGUAGCUCUACGUCUUUACACACACACUGUAGCGAUGUCUCAUGGAAUGUUUUUAUGCGUUUAACGCGAUACAAUACAACUUUCAGCAACGGAUCUCUUGGCUCUCGCAUCGAUGAAGAACGCAGCGAAAUGCGAUAAGUAAUGUGAAUUGCAGAAUUCAGUGAAUCAUCGAAUCUUUGAACGCACCUUGCGCCCCUUGGUUAUUCCUUGGAGCAUGCCUGUUUGAGUAUCAUGAACACCUCAACUCUCAUGGUCUUCCAUGAUGAGCUUGGACUUUGGGGGUUUGCUGGCCCUGCGGCCGGCUCCUCUCAAAYGRAUCAGCUUGCCAGUGUUUGGUGGCAUCACGGGUGUGAUAACUAUCUACKCUCGCGGUCGUCUGCCAGGUAACCCUCAGCGAUGAGGGUUCAUUGGAGCUCAUAAACGUCUCUCCUCGGCGAGGACAACUUUUGAAC